CUCUUGGACACUGACCAAUCAGCAACUCUGAGAAAGUUCGCCAUCGGCCACCACAUCUGGUUCUCAUUAAGUUUUCUAAGACUGCGGUAGUUCGCUGGAGCGGCGGGGCUGGGAAGCCAACACCAGUCUCCACUGAUUAUGAGGAAGCCAGGUAUUGUAUUCAGAAGGCAACACAGCAAAGAACUGGCAGCCUCUGGCCACCAGCCAACGAAAAACUAAAUUCUGCUGACAGCCACAGCCCUGACUGACUUCGGAUGCAGCCUUGUGAGAGACCCUGACGCAGAGGCCUCUGUUAAGAUGACCCAGAUUCCUGACCCAUAAGAACCUUGAGACUUACUAAAUAUAUGCUGUCUUAAACCAUUACAUUUAAGAAGGGUUGCUGCACAGCAAUGGAUAGCAGAAUCGAAUGGACACUGUGCUAAGGAAACUAAGCUUGGAGAGUUGGUUUAAACAGUGAUUAUUAUCUCAUGA
Mesocricetus auratus (golden hamster) is the source of this 471-nucleotide long non-coding RNA. RefSeq lists it as uncharacterized. NCBI's taxonomy places the organism in Eukaryota, Metazoa, Chordata, Mammalia, Rodentia, Cricetidae. The transcript is spliced from 2 exons. The record is from RefSeq and is a predicted model, not a curated record.